GGGUUUUCCCCGGGGAGCCGGCUGAACCCUCUGAUUGAGGAUUCGAGGCUGAGAGGUGGGCGUUGCGUCCCACGACCCGUUGAACCUGAACCCGUUAGCACGGGCGGAGGGAGGGUAUUUGCAGGCUGG
This 129-nucleotide non-coding RNA is filed under the name Caenibius tardaugens. Its description in RNAcentral is "Novosphingobium tardaugens TPP sequence". It matches the Rfam family "TPP riboswitch aptamer (THI element)". Rfam says of the family: Vitamin B(1) in its active form thiamin pyrophosphate (TPP) is an essential coenzyme that is synthesised by coupling of pyrimidine and thiazole moieties in bacteria. The previously detected thiamin-regulatory element, thi box was extended, resulting in a new, highly conserved RNA secondary structure, the THI element, which is widely distributed in eubacteria and also occurs in some archaea. RNAcentral also lists the same sequence under 1 other name. Lineage: Bacteria; Pseudomonadati; Pseudomonadota; Alphaproteobacteria; Sphingomonadales; Erythrobacteraceae. The record is from RNAcentral.